RNAcentral lists this ribosomal RNA (218 nucleotides) under uncultured bacterium. RNAcentral's name for it is "partial 16S ribosomal RNA". It matches the Rfam family "Bacterial small subunit ribosomal RNA", at positions 116 to 334 of the family's 1533-position model. The record is from RNAcentral.
CGUGGGUAACCUGCCUCAUACAGGGGGAUAGCAGCUGGAAACGGCUGAUAAAACCGCAUAAGCGCACAGCAUCGCAUGAUGCAGUGUGAAAAACUCCGGUGGUAUGAGAUGGACCCGCGUCUGAUUAGCUUGUUGGUGAGGUAACGGCCCACCAAGGCGACGAUCAGUAGCCGGCCUGAGAGGGUGACCGGCCACACUGGGACUGAGACACGGCCCAG